CUCUGCGCAAGGGAUCUU
RNAcentral lists this ribosomal RNA (18 nucleotides) under Loma morhua. RNAcentral's name for it is "partial large subunit ribosomal RNA". The record is from RNAcentral. Lineage: Eukaryota; Fungi; Microsporidia; Glugeidae.